Molecule: long non-coding RNA, 592 nt
Organism: Suricata suricatta (meerkat)
Lineage: Eukaryota; Metazoa; Chordata; Mammalia; Carnivora; Herpestidae
Exons: 2
Source: RefSeq, a predicted model, not a curated record
CCAGAAAGAGAACACCCUGGAAGUCAUUGGUUGGGACUUUGGAGGGAUGCAGGGUGAAGCAAGGCCUGGGGAAUAUUGCCGUGCCUUCCUGUUCUCUAGCUUCACUUCCUUGCUCCUCUCCUAGAAGAGUCUAUCAGAACUGAUUUUUGUCCCCAGGAAUGGGCCUGGGGUGACAACUAUGGACUGAAUUCUUCCCAUCCUAGGAGGUCACAUCAUAGAACCCACUCUUCCGUACCAGCACAAGAAAGGGACAGCAAGUGGAUGCAAAUCCCUUGCAAGGAGAAGAGAACAGACGUAGAUAAAGCAAGUUGGAGAAGUUCACGUGGCGAGAAACUGAGGGCAGCCUCUGAGCACCUGCCAGUGAGAAAUCAAGACCCUCAUUCUACCAUAUCACGAGGAAUCCUGCCAAGAACGAUGUGAGUGACCUUGCAAGUGGAUCCCCUCCAACUGAACCUUCAGAUGAGACCAUAGCCCUGCCUCACAGUUUGAGUGCAAUCUUGUAAGAAACACCGAGCUGGAUAACUCAACUAAACUGUGCCCAGAUUCCUGACCCACACAUACUGAGAAAAUAAAUGUGUUUUUUUUUAAGACA